RNAcentral lists this unclassified non-coding RNA (876 nucleotides) under Agrilus planipennis (emerald ash borer). RNAcentral describes it as "uncharacterized LOC108740689, transcript variant X1". The record is from RNAcentral. Lineage: Eukaryota; Metazoa; Arthropoda; Insecta; Coleoptera; Buprestidae.
UCAUAUGUCACUCUAUUAUAGGCAUAGAUACUACUAUUAAGUAUAAGUGGUUCAGCGAAGUUAUGUUUGUUUCGCAGCAAAAAUUAAAAUUUAAACAAGUGUAAAUGUUUUAGUUUAUAAUUUAGUUUUUUUUAUAUAUUUUUAUUAAUUUUAAAGUUCAACGGAAUCGAAAAAGGCAAAAAAGAAUGAGUAAUAAGUGGAAUUCUGACGAUGAUUUUAGCCGAGACAUCCAAGAAUUAUCCGUGUUCGGUACUAAUGGUUAUUUUGAUAAAGAAAUUUUAUCCAACGCCGAUGAAAUAAGAACGAGAUUGCAAAUAACGAGACGUAGUCGUUUUGAUGAUGACGAAAGGUUCAACCAAAUAUUAAAUGAUGACAGUACCAUUUGUGAGAAUGUAGUAUUUUGUAAACCCGUUCGAGGAAGACCGUUGAAAAAUAUACCUUUGGUCGACAAACCAGGGGGUAAAUCGUCAUUUCUAGACAAACAAAACGAAACUUCUGCAACAAUUAGAAGAGUGUCUGGCUUGGAUUUCUCUAAUGAUAUUAUUGAGAACACACUUCGACAAGAGAACAAACGAAAAGAAAAUGAUGCACCAAAACGAGAAACAUUUGCAAUGCCAAAUAUUCGUUUCAAUCGCACAGGUUCCAAGUCAAACAGCACCACACCUUCUAAUUCAUCAUCAAGUUCUCCAACAUUUUCUUCUCAACAGCCAUUGAUUAAUAAAGAAAUGACGCAGGACCCCUGUAAAUUUGUGACUCACAUCGCCACUGACCUUUAUGAUGUUUUAAGUAAUAGUAAACAGUUAGUUAAUAAGGUACCUCCACCUUUGUUUGAAAUGAUUAAAAAACAAUCAAAAGAAAACGUUUCUCAACAACAAA